RNAcentral lists this long non-coding RNA (1514 nucleotides) under Equus caballus (horse). RNAcentral describes it as "lncRNA (ENSECAG00000037368.3)". The record is from RNAcentral. Lineage: Eukaryota; Metazoa; Chordata; Mammalia; Perissodactyla; Equidae.
CGCGAGCUGGUUCUUAAAACUUUGCUCAGAAGUGAAACACUUCGGAGAGUUCUCGUCAAGAUGGCGCUGUGAGCAGACGUUGAACUCGCCUCCUCCCACGAACACAACCAGGUUACAACAAUUUUGGGAAGAAUCACCCUGGAUUGAAAACUGAAAACUGGAUAAAAAGAACCCCCACGACAAGGGACAGUCCUGACGAAAGCAGAAGAGGCAGUACCUCCGGCCGGAGAGGAAAAAAGCCACCUUUGGGAGCAGUGGAGCUUCUCAACUGGCCAGGCAGGAGCCAACCUAAGAAUGUCUAGUACAGUGCAUGGCACAUGAUAGAAGGAGAGCUCUUAAUGCCAGGUGGGAAAACAAAGCUAUGUAUAAACUUCUCCCACUGGCCCAGCAGUGACAGGCUCAGCUCACGAGGCCACGGAAGAAACACAUUCUGUGAGGUUGCCAUCAGCAGAAAAGCUUCCAAACUGCCUUUCCUCAAUCGAUGUUUGAAUGCACUCAAGGCGGCUUUACCCACAGCACUGCUCAAACAAUUCCAUGAUAACAUUCAUUUAUCAUCUUGGCAAGGAUGAGCCCAAUGGUGAAAUGGAUAUCUGCUUUCAUAAGACUCCCUGAAAGAAUCUCAAUGGCUCAUAGAGGUCCGUGGACUAAACUUUGUGAACCACUGAUCUUCAUUUAUAUUGUUGAGCUGGGAUGGUGUGAAGACUGGGGUCGGCUGAGACGAUUGAGUGGCGUGUCUCGACCAGGCUUCUCCAUAUAGCUUGGGUUUCCUUACAGCAUGACAGCUUCAGUGUGAGUGAACAUCUUAAAUGGUAUCUUAGUGGAUGUCACAGCAAGCAAGGCGGAAGCUGAAUGGCCUUGUAUGAUAUAGCUUCUGCAGUGACAUAGCAUAAUGUUCAUCAUAUUCUAUUGUUUACCCACAAGCUCAACAGGAGGAGGCACAUAUUCCCACCUCUCAAUGGGAGGAGUACUAAAGAAUUUGCAGCCAUGUUUUAAAAUUUCCAAAGGCUGAUUUUGGCCACAAAUUAUUUACAUUACUCCAUUAUGCAAAGUACACUCACCCUUCCAAGACCUCUAUCAAAAUCUCAUCCCAUUAAAGAAUUAGGCGCAAGAUUCACAAUCUUAUUGUAUAAAUCAGGUCCAGGUGUAGAUGAGGAUCCUUGGGUUUGGUCCCUUGGUGUCAUUCCUCUUGAUUGAAGACUUAUGGUCUAAAGAGACCACUUAUCCGCCCCUUAAUCACCCAGCAUACAAUAAUUGUCAGGCAUAGGAUAGCAUAAUUGACAUUUCAGUUUAAAAAGAAGGGAAGUGGAAGGCACACAGCAGUCAUUCAUCAUUAAUAACUCUAAAUUUUAACAGAGCUCCUCUCACCAGUCCCUCGAUUAGGGUCCAGUUCUCCUUCCUGCUCUCCUACUACUAGCGCUACUACUUGUCUGCCCACUGGCCUUUAAAGUAUGCCGGCUCAUCUUUCCUUUUCCGCGGCAAACACCCUGCAUUUGCAGUGAGGUAGUUUUUCUCAG